Molecule: non-coding RNA, 1204 nt
Organism: Meleagris gallopavo (turkey)
Lineage: Eukaryota; Metazoa; Chordata; Aves; Galliformes; Phasianidae
Source: RefSeq, a predicted model, not a curated record
CAUCUGGGUACACAGAGAUUCAUACUCCUGUGUCCCUACCACUAUGUUCAAAAUUGACCUUCCACAUACAGAAAUUGAAACUCCCUGCUUCUGAUCAUCACUAAAAUUCAGUGUGAAGAAAAGAAUAUGAUCUGGACUACUGUAAGUCUUCCACCAUCUCCCUCAAGAAAACUGCCGAAGAUUAAAAUUACAAAUGCUUAGCAAAUACCUCGAGACCAGGCUCCUCUACCCUUGAUUUCUGUACAACCCAGUUGGCAGCUUGGAGGAACCAGUCAACAGAGCACAGGCACAAGAAAACAUGCAGUUUUCUCUACCAUCUGAAAUUCAUGAUACAGAGCUGAAAGUCGAAAACCCAAGUGGGCAAAAAGCUCCCAGUGAACAGAGAAUGGGAUGGAGAGGAACAAACUCCUGAUGUUUCCCCUACUUUUCCUAUUUCUUCAAAAAGCGAAGUGUACCAGAAUAGUAACAAAUGGGUAAGUGGUGUGUCUGCACUGUUAGAAAGGUGCUGGUCAAUUAUCACCAGCUGAAAUUUUUUUGAUGCAUAUUUAGACUCACCAGCUCUUCCAAAAUUCAGUUUCCAUGACAGAAAAUGAUGAUUUAUUUAUGUAACAUGUUCUUCAGGUAACAAUGACUUUUGCCAAGACUUUUUGAAGUAGUCAACAGUUCCUUAAGUAAGAUGCUGACCUAUUAUGGAUUGAUGAUGUGACUCAUUUACAUUUAAGUCAGACUGUAAUUCUGCACACUGCUAGAUGGAGUGACAGGGUUCCCCUCUGACAUUAUCCAAAGGAAAGCCAAGAGCUAAUUCUCACAUCAACAUGACCUGGAGCCUUUUUGGCUGCUAUGAACUCACAGCUCUUAUCAAAAAUCCAAAGCAUUCAGCACUCAGCCAUGUUGACAAAUCCAGAACAUCAAAGAGGGCCAGAAACUCUCUGUCACCUGAGACUGUAAGGCACAGGCAUUUUGCGUACAACUGUGCAGUUCAGUCUCCCGUAUUAAGAGAGAAGUGUGGGUUCACUCCCCUUUGCUCAGGUAGCCAUAUCUCAAAGUCCAUGCUUAAGUCCUUUGUGCUGUUAGUAAUUCUAUGCUAAGACUAAAAUCCUUCAGAAUUGUCUGUGAUAAUAGUGAUAAUAGCAGUUCAUACUAAACAGUAAUCAUAACAAUAAGUUUUUUCUUCACUUAACCAACAGUCAUUAAGCCAGAUGGA